Molecule: long non-coding RNA, 168 nt
Organism: Perognathus longimembris pacificus (Pacific pocket mouse)
Lineage: Eukaryota; Metazoa; Chordata; Mammalia; Rodentia; Heteromyidae
Exons: 5
Source: RefSeq, a predicted model, not a curated record
CUGUCAAGGUAGAUGGCCUAAGGACCUGGAUCCACGCUUCCCACGUCAAAGCAGCUAACCUGACCAAGGAGGACAAGUGGAAGGUGGUGCAAUCUGGUGAUGACCCACUAAAAUGGACAUUUGUAAAACAUUUGAACUAGCCUGUCGGAUUUAAGGUUGGCUCUUGAC